GUGGGUAACCUGCCUGUAAGACUGGGAUAACUCCGGGAAACCGGGGCUAAUACCGGAUGCUUGAUUGAACCGCAUGGUUCAAUCAUAAAAGGUGGCUUUUAGCUACCACUUACAGAUGGACCCGCGGCGCAUUAGCUAGUUGGUGAGGUAACGGCUCACCAAGGCGACGAUGCGUAGCCGACCUGAGAGGGUGAUCGGCCACACUGGGACUGAGACACGGCCCAGACUCCUACGGGAGGCAGCAGUAGGGAAUCUUCCGCAAUGGACGAAAGUCUGACGGAGCAACGCCGCGUGAGUGAUGAAGGUUUUCGGAUCGUAAAACUCUGUUGUUAGGGAAGAACAAGUACCGUUCGAAUAGGGCGGUACCUUGACGGUACCUAACCAGAAAGCCACGGCUAACUACGUGCCAGCAGCCGCGGUAAUACGUAGGUGGCAAGCGUUGUCCGGAAUUAUUGGGCGUAAAGCGCGCGCAGGCGGUUUCUUAAGUCUGAUGUGAAAGCCCCCGGCUCAACCGGGGGAGGGUCAUUGGAAACUGGGGAACUUGAGUGCA
This 550-nucleotide ribosomal RNA is filed under the name Bacillus licheniformis. RNAcentral's name for it is "bacterial SSU rRNA". It matches the Rfam family "Bacterial small subunit ribosomal RNA", at positions 117 to 650 of the family's 1533-position model. The record is from RNAcentral. Lineage: Bacteria; Bacillati; Bacillota; Bacilli; Caryophanales; Bacillaceae.